Molecule: non-coding RNA, 156 nt
Organism: Triticum urartu
Lineage: Eukaryota; Viridiplantae; Streptophyta; Magnoliopsida; Poales; Poaceae
Source: Rfam
GUAUUACUCCCUCCGUCCCAAAAUUCUUGUCUUAGAUUUAUCUAGAUACAGAUGUAUCCCAAAAUUCUUGUCUUAGAUUUAUCUAGAUACGGAUGUAUCAUACAUCCGUAUCUAGAUAAAUCUAAGACAAGAAUUUUGGGAUGGAGGAAGUAUUUC